UCAUCAGUUCCUGCCUCCAGGGUCCUGCCCUGACUUCCUGUCACAGCCGACUGAGAUUGGUAGGAACAAGCUAAGUUAACCCUUUCCUCCCCGAGUCGCUCUGAGUGGUGUUUUAUCACAGCGAUAGAAAAUAUCUAAAGCACUGGGCACGUUUGCAUGUGCCUGCAAUCCCGGCCACGAAAGAGGCUGACACGGAAGACUACUUCAGCCCAAGAGUGAAAGUCCAACCAGGUCUGCGCCUGCCCGGGCUCCUCGGUGCCAGGCUCCUCCCACCCUCCCAUCAUGCUCAGCAAAGCUCCUGGACUGGCCUGAGGACACCCCUGCGUGGACACCCAUCCUCUUUCGAUUCAAUGUCAGUGUGACCUAGGGGACAUACCUCGCAGUGCUAUUCCCUGAACCUGGACGUACAGGAGGUCGGAACCCACCCAACAGGGACUCAUGUGUGUGUGGAGGGACAGAGAGCACAGAGAGCAGGAAAGGCGGUCAGACCUGGAGCUAUGCUUACAGGAACUAAAUUUUGGGUCUUCUGCAAGAGCAACAAAGACUCCUACUCACUGAGCCACUC
Molecule: long non-coding RNA, 565 nt
Organism: Mus musculus (house mouse)
Lineage: Eukaryota; Metazoa; Chordata; Mammalia; Rodentia; Muridae
Product: predicted gene, 34693
Exons: 3
Source: RefSeq, a predicted model, not a curated record